Molecule: ribosomal RNA, 253 nt
Filed under: uncultured bacterium
Lineage: Bacteria
Description: partial 16S ribosomal RNA
Rfam family: Bacterial small subunit ribosomal RNA
Source: RNAcentral
UACGUAGGUGGCAAGCGUUGUCCGGAUUUAUUGGGUUUAAAGGGUGCGUAGGCGGCUUUGUAAGUCAGUGGUGAAAUAUGGCAGCUCAACUGUCAAGGUGCCAUUGAUACUGCGGAGCUUGAGUACAGAUGAGGUAGGCGGAAUUGACGGUGUAGCGGUGAAAUGCGUAGAUAUCGAGAGGAACACCUGCGGCGAAGGCGGGUUGCUGGGCUGACACUGACGCUGAAGUGCGAAAGCUAGGGGAGCGAACGGG